Molecule: ribosomal RNA, 513 nt
Filed under: uncultured bacterium
Lineage: Bacteria
Description: partial 16S ribosomal RNA
Rfam family: Bacterial small subunit ribosomal RNA
Source: RNAcentral
GAUGAACGCUGGCGGCGUGCCUAAUACAUGCAAGUCGAGCGAACAGACGAGGAGCUUGCUCCUUUGACGUUAGCGGCGGACGGGUGAGUAACACGUGGGUAACCUACCUAUAAGACUGGGAUAACCUCGGGAAACCGGAGCUAAUACCGGAUAAUAUUUCGAACCGCAUGGUUCGAUAGUGAAAGAUGGAUCUGCUAUCACUUAUAGAUGGACCUGCGCCGUAUUAGCUAGUUGGUAAGGUAACGGCUUACCAAGGCAACGAUACGUAGCCGACCUGAAGGGGUGAUCAGCCACACGGGAACGAAGACACGGUCCAGACUCCUACGGAGGGCAGCAGUAGGGAAUCUUCCGCAAUGGGCGAACGCCUGACGGAGCAACGCCGCGUGAGUGAUGAAGGUCUUCGGAUCGUAAAACUCUGUUAUUAGGGAAGAACAAACAUGUAAGUAACUGUGCACGUCUUGACGGUACCUAAUCAGAAAGCCACGGCUAACUACGUGCCAGCCGCCGCCGUAA